This 753-nucleotide ribosomal RNA is filed under the name uncultured Pseudomonas sp. RNAcentral describes it as "bacterial SSU rRNA". It matches the Rfam family "Bacterial small subunit ribosomal RNA", at positions 28 to 776 of the family's 1533-position model. The record is from RNAcentral. Lineage: Bacteria; Pseudomonadati; Pseudomonadota; Gammaproteobacteria; Pseudomonadales; Pseudomonadaceae.
AUUGAACGCUGGCGGCAGGCCUAACACAUGCAAGUCGAGCGGUAGAGAGAAGCUUGCUUCUCUUGAGAGCGGCGGACGGGUGAGUAAUGCCUAGGAAUCUGCCUGGUAGUGGGGGAUAACGUUCGGAAACGGACGCUAAUACCGCAUACGUCCUACGGGAGAAAGCAGGGGACCUUCGGGCCUUGCGCUAUCAGAUGAGCCUAGGUCGGAUUAGCUAGUUGGUGAGGUAAUGGCUCACCAAGGCGACGAUCCGUAACUGGUCUGAGAGGAUGAUCAGUCACACUGGAACUGAGACACGGUCCAGACUCCUACGGGAGGCAGCAGUGGGGAAUAUUGGACAAUGGGCGAAAGCCUGAUCCAGCCAUGCCGCGUGUGUGAAGAAGGUCUUCGGAUUGUAAAGCACUUUAAGUUGGGAGGAAGGGUUGUAGAUUAAUACUCUGCAAUUUUGACGUUACCGACAGAAUAAGCACCGGCUAACUCUGUGCCAGCAGCCGCGGUAAUACAGAGGGUGCAAACGUUAAUCGGAAUUACUGGGCGUAAAGCGCGCGUAGGUGGUUUGUUAAGUUGGAUGUGAAAUCCCCGGGCUCAACCUGGGAACUGCAUUCAAAACUGACUGACUAGAGUAUGGUAGAGGGUGGUGGAAUUUCCUGUGUAGCGGUGAAAUGCGUAGAUAUAGGAAGGAACACCAGUGGCGAAUGCGACCACCUGGACUAAUACUGACACUGAGGUGCGAAAGCGUGGGGAGCAAACAGG